This 907-nucleotide ribosomal RNA is filed under the name Dichostereum effuscatum. Its description in RNAcentral is "LSU rRNA". It matches the Rfam family "Eukaryotic large subunit ribosomal RNA", at positions 38 to 968 of the family's 3401-position model. Lineage: Eukaryota; Fungi; Basidiomycota; Agaricomycetes; Russulales; Lachnocladiaceae. The record is from RNAcentral.
GCAUAUCAAUAAGCGGAGGAAAAGAAACUAACAAGGAUUCCCCUAGUAACUGCGAGUGAAGCGGGAAGAGCUCAAAUUUAAAAUCUGGCGGCUUUGCCGUCCGAGUUGUAAUUUAGAGAAGCGUUUUCCGCGCCGGACCGUGUACAAGUCUCCUGGAACGGAGCGUCAUAGAGGGUGAGAAUCCCGUCUUUGACACGGACCCCCGGUGCUCUGUGAUACGCUCUCGAAGAGUCGAGUUGUUUGGGAAUGCAGCUCAAAAUGGGUGGUGAACUCCAUCUAAAGCUAAAUAUUGGCGAGAGACCGAUAGCGAACAAGUACCGUGAGGGAAAGAUGAAAAGCACUUUGGAAAGAGAGUGAAACAGUACGUGAAAUUGCUGAAAGGGAAACGCUUGAAGUCAGUCGCGUCUGCCAGAAUUCAGCCUUAUGGUGUAUUUUCUGACAGACGGGCCAGCAUCACUUUCGAUUGCCGGAAAAAGGCAGAGGGAAUGUGGCACCUCUUCGGAGGUGUGUUAUAGCCCUUUGUCGUAUACGGUGGUUGGGAGUGAGGACCGCCUAUUUUGUAGGAUGCUGGCGUAAUGGCUUUAAACGACCCGUCUUGAAACACGGACCAAGGAGUCUAACAUGCCCGCGAGUGUUCGGGUGGAAAACCCGUGCGCGUAAUGAAAGUGAAAGUUGGGAAGGCUGUCGCGGCCUGCACCGACGCCCGGACCUGAGAUUUAUCGACGGUUCUGCGGUAGAGCGUGUAUGUUGGGACCCGAAAGAUGGUGAACUAUGCCUGAAUAGGGUGAAGCCAGAGGAAACUCUGGUGGAGGCUUGUAGCGAUUCUGACGUGCAAAUCGAUCGUCAAAUUUGGGUAUAGGGGCGAAAGACUAAUCGAACCAUCUAGUAGCUGGUUCCUGCCGAAGUU